UUUUAUGGAGAGUUUGAUCCUGGCUCAGGAUGAACGCUGGCGGCGUGCCUAAUACAUGCAAGUCGAGCGAACAGAUGAGGAGCUUGCUCCACUGAUGUUAGCGGCGGACGGGUGAGUAACACGUGGGUAACCUACCUAUAAGACUGGAAUAACUCCGGGAAACCGGGGCUAAUGCCGGAUAAUAUGCAGAACCGCAUGGUUCUGCAAUGAAAGACGGUUUUGCUGUCAUUUAUAGAUGGACCCGCGCCGUAUUAGCUAGUUGGUAAGGUAACGGCUUACCAAGGCAACGAUACGUAGCCGACCUGAGAGGGUGAUCGGCCACACUGGAACUGAGACACGGUCCAGACUCCUACGGGAGGCAGCAGUAGGGAAUCUUCCGCAAUGGGCGAAAGCCUGACGGAGCAACGCCGCGUGAGUGAUGAAGGUCUUCGGAUCGUAAAACUCUGUUAUUAGGGAAGAACAAGUGCGUAGGUAACUAUGCGCACCUUGACGGUACCUAAUCAGAAAGCCACGGCUAACUACGUGCCAGCAGCCGCGGUAAUACGUAGGUGGCAAGCGUUAUCCGGAAUUAUUGGGCGUAAAGCGCGCGUAGGCGGUUUUUUAAGUCUGAUGUGAAAGCCCACGGCUCAACCGUGGAGGGUCAUUGGAAACUGGAAAACUUGAGUGCAGAAGAGGAAAGUGGAAUUCCAUGUGUAGCGGUGAAAUGCGCAGAGAUAUGGAGGAACACCAGUGGCGAAGGCGACUUUCUGGUCUGCAACUGACGCUGAUGUGCGAAAGCGUGGGGAUCAAACAGGAUUAGAUACCCUGGUAGUCCACGCCGUAAACGAUGAGUGCUAAGUGUUAGGGGGUUUCCGCCCCUUAGUGCUGCAGCUAACGCAUUAAGCACUCCGCCUGGGGAGUACGGCCGCAAGGCUGAAACUCAAAGGAAUUGACGGGGACCCGCACAAGCGGUGGAGCAUGUGGUUUAAUUCGAAGCAACGCGAAGAACCUUACCAAAUCUUGACAUCCUUUGACCGCUCUAGAGAUAGAGUCUUCCCCUUCGGGGACAAAGUGACAGGUGGUGCAUGGUUGUCGUCAGCUCGUGUCGUGAGAUGUUGGGUUAAGUCCCGCAACGAGCGCAACCCUUAAGCUUAGUUGCCAGCAUUAAGUUGGGCACUCUAAGUUGACUGCCGGUGACAAACCGGAGGAAGGUGGGGAUGACGUCAAAUCAUCAUGCCCCUUAUGAUUUGGGCUACACACGUGCUACAAUGGACAGUACAAAGGGCAGCGAAACCGCGAGGUCAAGCAAAUCCCAUAAAGCUGUUCUCAGUUCGGAUUGUAGUCUGCAACUCGACUACAUGAAGCUGGAAUCGCUAGUAAUCGUAGAUCAGCAUGCUACGGUGAAUACGUUCCCGGGUCUUGUACACACCGCCCGUCACACCACGAGAGUUCGUAACACCCGAAGCCGGUGGAGUAACCUUUUAGGAGCUAGCCGUCGAAGGUGGGACGAAUGAUUGGGGUGAAGUCGUAACAAGGUAGCCGUAUCGGAAGGUGCGGCUGGAUCACCUCCUUUCUAA
RNAcentral lists this ribosomal RNA (1556 nucleotides) under Staphylococcus carnosus. RNAcentral describes it as "bacterial SSU rRNA". It matches the Rfam family "Bacterial small subunit ribosomal RNA". The record is from RNAcentral. Lineage: Bacteria; Bacillati; Bacillota; Bacilli; Caryophanales; Staphylococcaceae.